AGCGGCUUGUAUUACAUCGCUCGACACGAUUCCAUUUUUCCUAUCUGCCGCAAUUAGAUCUCUCAAAAAGCUGCUUUUACGUAAAUUGUAUAUAUGAGCAAGCGCAUCCGCAUAAACACGAACAUUAGCUUCAUCGUUCUUUUUUUGUUCCUCAUAGAAAUAACGGACAAAGCUGUCUGGAUAAUCAUUCGUGAUACCCAAGGCUAUAAAAGCAGGAUCAUCAGGUAAGGAGGCCGAAUUGUCGCGAAAAACUGUGGUAUACA
Molecule: non-coding RNA, 263 nt
Organism: Schizosaccharomyces pombe (fission yeast)
Lineage: Eukaryota; Fungi; Ascomycota; Schizosaccharomycetes; Schizosaccharomycetales; Schizosaccharomycetaceae
Source: the annotation of a GenBank genome assembly